AGGAAAGAUAAACAGGCCAGGAUCAAAGUAUGCAACUUGGAAAUUGUUGAAACAAUAAACGAACAUACACAUGAGCCAAUUCCAGGGAGGGUAGCAGCUAUUAAAUGUACAAAUGAACUGAAGCGCCGUGCUUGUAAUACUGCAGAAUCACCACAACGAAUAAUUUCUGAAGAACUGUCAAAGCUCGAUGAAGAUUCAGCCACGCAAAUCGCACCAGAGAGGACACUUCGAAGGGCCAUUCGCAGGCAUAAACAGAAGAAUGAUACUGGCCCCGCAAUACCACGUUCACGAGAUUUCCAAAUCCCACAAGUAUAUCAACAGUUGGAAAACGGCGAAACAUUUUUAUUACACGAUAGCGGUCGAACCAAUUCACUCCGAAUGCUGGUGUUUUGUUCGACGAGUGGUCUUGCUGCUUUAUCAGCGAAUGAACAUUGGUUCAUGGAUGGCACCUUUAAGACUGCACCCGAACACUUUAUGCAAAUAUACACUGUCCAUUCGUUCUCGGAUGGAAUUGUUACUCCAAGUGUGUUUGCCUUGCUGCCAGAUAAAUAACAACAAACUUACACGGCACUUUUCCGCAUCCUGCAAAUCGCAUCCGGAAACAACCUCAAUCCAAAAUCAGUCCUAGUCGACUUUGAAAAAGCAAGCAUAAAUGCGUUGGAAGAAGUAUUUACGGCGUCACAAAUUCAAGGCUGUUUAUUUCACUUAAGUCAAAGUGUUUUUCGAAAAAUCCAGCAAUUAGGGUUGCAACAGUUAUAUCGAUCGAACUCGGAAAUCUCGUUAAAAGUAAAAAUGUUGACAGCACUGUCUUUUGUCCCGGAACGUGAUAUGGCAGAAGCCUUAAGUGCGGUAUUGAAUAAUUUUCCUCCAGAGCUGGCGUCACUUGGAGAAUAUUUUGAAGAGACGUAUAUUGGGCGGGCAAUUCCAAAUGGUCGUCGACAGCCCAUUUUUCCUAUAUCUUUGUGGAACACUCUUGCUCGAGUUCGCAACAAUUUGCCGCGAACUAACAAUCAUUUGGAGGGAUGGCAUAGAAGAAUGGCCUCCAAUGUGGAUUGUUACCACCUAAACAUUUGGAAAUUAAUCAAUAUAUUUAAAAAAGAAGACAGAUUGGCUUCGAUUGUUCGGACACAACACAUGUCUGGGGCUGAUGGUGCCCCAAGAAGAAAAAAAUAUAAAGAUUUGGACGCCCGCAUACAAAAUCUGGUGACCAACUAUGACCCACGCUCUGUGCUAUCAUUUCUAAGGGGAAUUGCACAUAAUCUGCAUACCUGAUUUCGCAUUAAAAUUGUUGUUUCGUUGUUAUUAAUAAACACACCUUCUUUUCA
Ciona intestinalis (vase tunicate) is the source of this 1325-nucleotide non-coding RNA. The record is from RefSeq and is a predicted model, not a curated record. NCBI's taxonomy places the organism in Eukaryota, Metazoa, Chordata, Ascidiacea, Phlebobranchia, Cionidae.